CCUUAAAGAAGCGUACUUUGCAGUGCUCACACAGAUUGUCUGAUAGAAAGUGAAAAGCAAGGCGUCUUGCGAAGCAGACUGAUACGUCCCCUUCGUCUAGAGGCCCAGGACACCGCCCUUUCACGACGGUAACAGGGGUUCGAAUCCCCUAGGGGACGCCACUUGCUGGUUUGUGAGUGAAAGUCGCCGACCUCAAUAUCUCAAAACUCAUCUUCGGGUGAUGUUUGAGAUAUUUGCUCUUUAAAAAUCUGGAUCAAGCUGAAAAUUGAAACACUGAACAACGAAAGUUGUUCGUGAGUCUCUCAAAUUUUCGCAACACGAUGAUGAAUCGCAAGAAACAUCUUCGGGUUGUG
RNAcentral lists this unclassified non-coding RNA (353 nucleotides) under Escherichia coli. The stretch from base 239 to 347 matches the Rfam family "Salmonella enterica Typhi npcRNA 44". Lineage: Bacteria; Pseudomonadati; Pseudomonadota; Gammaproteobacteria; Enterobacterales; Enterobacteriaceae. The record is from RNAcentral.